CGUAAAAUGCCUCGAAUUCAAUGGAAACUCGCUCCCUUCAAACCGUAUUUCAUCCCGGCCGGAUAAUUAUUAAUAUUGGCAUCUGAUCACAAUAGUGCCGUGCUCCCCCUCCGCCCCCCCAGCACUUUGCAUUGUCAUGUGAUUGGAGGGAGAUAACAAACCUCAAGAAAGAAAAGGAGUCAGAAGACAUUUUUAACGUGCUCUAACCACAGAUUAAUAAUGCAGGGUAUGAAUUUGGUACUUCUAGCAUUUCUGAAGCUCCAUACUGAGCAGCGUAUGUAUAGGUACAUAAGUUAAAGCUACAACACGGCAGAGGAGCCCAUGGGGCAUGCAUGCCAAACUUGUGCACCUAGGUGUAGACAUACACAGAUGAAGAGACCUUGAAAAAGAAAUGCCACUAAAUCUAUCUCAAAAGAGAGUUCUAAAUAUGUAAGACGGAGAACAUACAUGCCUCAGGUACAGCUCAUAAAAUGUGUCUAUUUUGUACAUCAGUUACGCUGUGACAUACCUGAAGGAUAACAUCUCUCUGACCAAACUGGCACCGUCAUGCCAAGGGGGGCAGGUGCUCACUGAACCAGCAAUCCAAAAUUUUUUCUGGCCCAAUGUUGUACCAUGAGUAGGUCAACUUGAUCAUCUAUAUGUGCAGUGACAAUAGUUCGGGACAAGAAAAUACCUGGGACAGAGUUGGUCACUUUGUUACCUAAGUUAACAGUUUCUCAGGCUCUUUUCCUCCUCCGGGGGCCUUUCCCCCCAGGGGCGUGGAAGUGAGCCCCACGCGUGCCUUGGCAUCAGGACAAUCAUC
This 802-nucleotide long non-coding RNA is filed under the name Dromaius novaehollandiae (emu). RNAcentral describes it as "lncRNA (ENSDNVG00000013472.1)". Lineage: Eukaryota; Metazoa; Chordata; Aves; Casuariiformes; Dromaiidae. The record is from RNAcentral.